This 469-nucleotide ribosomal RNA is filed under the name uncultured Alphaproteobacteria bacterium. RNAcentral describes it as "partial 16S ribosomal RNA". The record is from RNAcentral. Lineage: Bacteria; Pseudomonadati; Pseudomonadota; Alphaproteobacteria.
UCACCCCAGUCGCUGACCCUACCGUGGCCGGUCUUCUUACUGCGGAUAGCGCACCGUCUUCAGGUAAAACCAACUCCCAUGGUGUGACGGGCGGUGUGUACAANGCCCGGGAACGUAUUCACCGUGGCGUGCUGAUCCACGAUUACUAGCGAUUCCAACUUCAUGGGCUCGAGUUGCAGAGCCCAAUCCGAACUGAGACGGCUUUUUGAGAUUUGCUGGGGCUUGCCCCUUUGCAUCCUUUUUUCACCACCAUUGUAACACGUGUGUAGGACGAAAUCCGUUUGUCCACCACCACCUAAGAUGGGUACCAGAUCCAUCAGCAAUUAUCAUCAGCUGGAGCCACAGAAGGACAAUAUCCGAGCCGCUCCCUCAGAGAUAUUAAGCCCAAAACGGAAAGCCCCAACGCCCCCGCAGACCUCUCAGAAUGCCAUAGUGACCCUUCACGCUCGAGCAACCUGCCAAAGAUACG